RNAcentral lists this ribosomal RNA (253 nucleotides) under uncultured bacterium. Its description in RNAcentral is "partial 16S ribosomal RNA". It matches the Rfam family "Bacterial small subunit ribosomal RNA", at positions 524 to 776 of the family's 1533-position model. The record is from RNAcentral.
UACGUAGGGCGUAAGCGUUGUCCGGAAUUAUUGGGCGUAAAGAGCUCGUAGGCGGCUUGUCACGUCGGGUGUGAAAGCCCGGGGCUUAACCCCGGGUCUGCAUUCGAUACGGGCUAGCUAGAGUGUGGUAGGGGAGAUCGGAAUUCCUGGUGUAGCGGUGAAAUGCGCAGAUAUCAGGAGGAACACCGGUGGCGAAGGCGGAUCUCUGGGCCAUUACUGACGCUGAGGAGCGAAAGCGUGGGGAGCGAACAGG